This 596-nucleotide long non-coding RNA is filed under the name Pan troglodytes (chimpanzee). RNAcentral describes it as "long non-coding RNA NONPTRT004450". Lineage: Eukaryota; Metazoa; Chordata; Mammalia; Primates; Hominidae. The record is from RNAcentral.
GGGAAAGAACAAGGAGUUUCUCUCUCCUCACGGCUGCCUGGGACACAUGCGGAGUCGAUUGUCACGUUAAAAAGCCGAGGGAUAAGCAAAAACACAUCCAAAGCAGGCAGCCAGAAGGAAGAGAAGUCUGGGGUCCAAGUCACAGGAUGCACAUUGGAGGCAACUGGGAAUGCCUCCUCUGCAGAGGGGACAAGUACGGAGCAAUACAGUCACUGAUUCAAACAUCUGGAGCACUCAAAGGCCUUUAGACGUUGCCUUGGGGAAAAGAUGAUACACAGAUUGAGAGUUCAUGCGCAGCUUCCGAGUUUUAUAAUGGAGCUUUGACUCUCACAGCAAACAUGAAGCAAAAGGUUGUUUUUGAGUCUCAAAAGCCUGACUUUUGAGUGUCAAAUAAAAUCAUGGUGUAUUUGUGGCAUUUCGUUUAUACCAGGAACAAUAAAUGUGAAAGGACGUGAAAACAGUCAACACAGUUCAUCCAAAGUCCCAGAAGUCAGGGAGAGAAGGAUGCUGUGGACACAUACGACUGAGUGUGCAUUCAGCAUUUGAGGAUGUAUACUGUAUGUUGUGAAUGGAGUUUCAAAUUCAGGGACUGCGAC